Molecule: transfer RNA, 90 nt
Filed under: Corynespora cassiicola Philippines
Lineage: Eukaryota; Fungi; Ascomycota; Dothideomycetes; Pleosporales; Corynesporascaceae
Rfam family: tRNA
About the family: Transfer RNA (tRNA) molecules are approximately 80 nucleotides in length.
Source: Rfam by way of RNAcentral
GGUUCUGUAGUGUAGUGGUUAUCACUCCGGAUUUUGAUAGGUUAACGCCUGCUAAUUCCGGUAACCCCGGUUCGAGUCCGGGCAGGACCU